AUUGAACGCUGGCGGCAGGCCUAACACAUGCAAGUCGAACGGUAACAGGAAGAAGCUUGCUUCUUUGCUGACGAGUGGCGGACGGGUGAGUAAUGUCUGGGAAACUGCCUGAUGGAGGGGGGUAACUACUGGAAACGGUAGCUAAUACCGCAUAACGUCGCAAGACCAAAGAGGGGGACCUUCGGGCCUCUUGCCAUCGGAUGUGCCCAGAUGGGAUUAGCUAGUAGGUGGGGUACCGGCUCACCUAGGCGACGAUCCCUAGCUGGUCUGAGAGGAUGACCAGACACACUGGAACUGAGACACGGUCCAGACUCCUACGGGAGGCAGCAGUGGGGAAUAUUGCACAAUGGGCGCAAGCCUGAUGCAGCCAUGCCGCGUGUAUGAAGAAGGCCUUCGGGUUGUAAAGUACUUUCAGCGGGGAGGAAGGGAGUAAAGUUAAUACCUUUGCUCAUUGACGUUACCCGCAGAAGAAGCACCGGCUAACUCCGUG
Molecule: ribosomal RNA, 490 nt
Filed under: uncultured bacterium
Lineage: Bacteria
Description: partial 16S ribosomal RNA
Rfam family: Bacterial small subunit ribosomal RNA
Source: RNAcentral